This 523-nucleotide long non-coding RNA is filed under the name Anas platyrhynchos platyrhynchos (common mallard). Its description in RNAcentral is "lncRNA (ENSAPLG00000026674.1)". The record is from RNAcentral. Lineage: Eukaryota; Metazoa; Chordata; Aves; Anseriformes; Anatidae.
AUGCAUUACUGUAAAAAUGUUAAAAUUAUACAAGUAUGUAUUGUCUUGCUUUUGCCAUGUUUAGAUACUUCCUGUUGGGAGAUAAUGUUUGAAUUCUUGUGUUUUCCAUCACCUUUUGAAGCCAAGUUACAUUGCUUUGAUUACAGAUUCUCAACGUUCUCUCCUCAGCAUCAUCUCUUCCAGGUUAUGCUGGAGCAGACAGACUUUAUUACAAGACUAAAAAGUAGUUCUGAGUAUCAGCUGGAGGAAAAAUGCCUGUUUGCUACAAAUACAUGAGAUGGAAAACAAGUUUCCCCCUAAUCGUAGAAGUACAAUGCAGAUAAGGAAGCUCAGUGAUGUGGAAACUGAUCUGUCGAAGAUAGAGGCAAGGAAUAUUUUUUUAUCCAGCAAACCCUAUUUCUUCAUUCAGACCUCAGAUGUAAAGAAAUCUCAAAGGCUACGUUGUACUGUUGUGGUUUCAAGUUACACAGGUAUAUUGUAGCCAAAUAUUAAAAAUAAAAUAAAAUAAAUCUAAAUUAAUGCA